Molecule: ribosomal RNA, 632 nt
Filed under: uncultured bacterium
Lineage: Bacteria
Description: bacterial SSU rRNA
Rfam family: Bacterial small subunit ribosomal RNA
Source: RNAcentral
CCUACGGGAGGCAGCAGUGGGGAAUAUUGGACAAUGGGCGCAAGCCUGAUCCAGCAAUGCCGCGUGAGUGAAGAAGGCCUUCGGGUUGUAAAGCUCUUUUGUCGGGGAAGAAACGGUGGGGGCUAAUAUCUCCUACUAAUGACGGUACCUGAAGAAUAAGCACCGGCUAACUACGUGCCAGCAGCCGCGGUAAUACGUAGGGUGCAAGCGUUAAUCGGAAUUACUGGGCGUAAAGCGUGCGCAGGCGGUUUUGUAAGUCUGUCGUGAAAGCCCCGGGCUCAACCUGGGAAUUGCGAUGGAGACUGCAAGGCUUGAAUCUGGCAGAGGGGGGUAGAAUUCCACGUGUAGCAGUGAAAUGCGUAGAGAUGUGGAGGAACACCGAUGGCGAAGGCAGCCCCCUGGGUCAAGAUUGACGCUCAUGCACGAAAGCGUGGGGAGCAAACAGGAUUAGAUACCCUGGUAGUCCACGCCCUAAACGAUGUCUACUAGUUGUCGGGUUUUAAUUAACGUUGGUAACGCAGUCUAACGCGUGAAGUAGACCGCCGUGGGGAGUACGGUCGCAAGUAUUAAAACCGUCGAAAGGUAAUUGGACGGCGUGAGACGUAGCCGACGGACGACGACGAGGGAGGAGG